AGCUCCAAUAGCGUAUAUUAAAGUUGUUGCAGUUAAAAAGUUCGUAGUUGAAUUUCUGUUUGUAUUAUAUGGUCUGCCUUUUGGUGUGUACCAUGGUAAUACGAGCAUAUUCCUGAUUGUUGCCUGUUUACUUAAUUGUAAGCAGUGUAGCGUUAGGACAAUUACUUUGAGAAAAUUAGAGUGUUUAAAGCAGGCGUAGGCCUUGAAUACUACAGCAUGGAAUAAUAAAAUAGGACUUUGGUUCUAUUUUGUUGGUUUCUAGAACUAAAGUAAUGAUUAAUAGGGACAGUUGGGGGCGUCCGUACUCCGUUGUCAGAGGUGAAAUUCUUAAAUUUGCGGAUGACGAACUACUGCGAAAGCAUUCGCCAAGGAUGUUUUCAUUAAUCAAGAACGAAAGUAG
Molecule: ribosomal RNA, 400 nt
Filed under: phytoplankton environmental sample
Lineage: Eukaryota
Description: partial small subunit ribosomal RNA
Rfam family: Eukaryotic small subunit ribosomal RNA
Source: RNAcentral